AUUGAACGCCGGCGGCAUGCCUUACACAUGCAAGUCGAACGGCAGCACGGGAGCAAUCCUGGUGGCGAGUGGCGAACGGGUGAGUAAAGUAUCGGAACGUGCCCAGUCGUGGGGGAUAACGUAGCGAAAGUUACGCUAAUACCGCAUACGAUCUAUGGAUGAAAGCGGGGGAUCGCAAGACCUCGCGCGAUUGGAGCGGCCGAUAUCAGAUUAGGUAGUUGGUGGGGUAAAGGCUCACCAAGCCGACGAUCUGUAGCUGGUCUGAGAGGACGACCAGCCACACUGGGACUGAGACACGGCCCAGACUCCUACGGGAGGCAGCAGUGGGGAAUUUUGGACAAUGGGCGAAAGCCUGGUCCAGCCAUGCCGCGUGCAGGAUGAAGGCCUUCGGGUUGUAAACUGCUCUUGUACGGAACGAAAAGGUUUGGCCUAAUAAGCUGAGCUCAUGACGGUACCGUAAGAAUAAGCACCGGCUAACUACGUGCCAGCAGCCGCCGUAA
RNAcentral lists this ribosomal RNA (500 nucleotides) under uncultured bacterium. Its description in RNAcentral is "partial 16S ribosomal RNA". It matches the Rfam family "Bacterial small subunit ribosomal RNA", at positions 30 to 523 of the family's 1533-position model. The record is from RNAcentral.